Molecule: unclassified non-coding RNA, 231 nt
Filed under: Athalia rosae (coleseed sawfly)
Lineage: Eukaryota; Metazoa; Arthropoda; Insecta; Hymenoptera; Athaliidae
Description: misc RNA ENSAEAG00005000702.1
Source: RNAcentral
AUUUAUCCUUGACAGUCGUCGGACUUGCCUGGUUUUUCGCCAUACGGUUCAACCUAUACCUACGCUGUGCUGCGAAAUUCGUAUAAAGGCUUCCAAUCAGUCGCCACGGUGGCUAAUUCGUCGCAGUACUCAUUCAACUCUCAUUGUCAAUCAGGAAGGGCAGAAGUUACACAGUAUCGCACAAUUCGUUUACAGGUACUCUGAGAUGCUGUCGCCGCAGUUAUGACCCCC